RNAcentral lists this long non-coding RNA (1113 nucleotides) under Oryzias javanicus (javanese ricefish). RNAcentral's name for it is "lncRNA (ENSOJAG00000019273.1)". The record is from RNAcentral. Lineage: Eukaryota; Metazoa; Chordata; Actinopteri; Beloniformes; Adrianichthyidae.
AAUGUUGUUCACCAGCACGUUAAAACUUUUCGAGUCGGGUCUCCCCAGAACGUUCUAACCACGCCCACAUGUGACGACUCUGGAGUGGGCGUGCCCUGCGGCGUGCCUACCUGCUCAUGUCCAGCAGGAAGCGGUCGGCCCUCGCCAUGCGCUCCACCUCGUGCUUGUGCUCCUCCAGCAGCUCCACGUCGCUCUUCUCAGGAACAAACUUCAGGAGCUGCGCAGACACAAGCGGACGUUUAGCGGCUCCCCGUGAGGCCGGCGGCCGCGCUGCGGAAAUUCGGACACCUGCUCCAGCAUGUCAGGGGGCAAGUCCUCCUGCUCGUCCAUGGCGGUGAGCGCCUGGCAGAUCUCCUCGUUGCUCAGCUUCAGCCUGCGGUGGAGACGGGUCAGUUUGAGGACAGAAAGCGGAGCGGCGUCGAGCCGCGGCGGAGCACUGACCGGGACAGCAGGAUGUUGCAGUUCUGCGCUCGCCGACCGUCGAUCACCGACAGCUCCUUCACCUUCUUCACAGACGGGUCCUCCGGUUCCUUCUGCAGGACACUCAUCACUUCGGUAUGUGGUAACCCUUCAGCUGCCUGACCCGGCAGAGCUCCUCCCACCGCCGCCGCCGCCGCUCCUCACCUUGGUCUUGAUGUUCUCUGCUGCCAGGCUUUGCGUGAUGACGUUGAUGCCCUCCGGGUGUUCCAGGACGUGACUUCUGCCCUGAGAGUUGUUCAUCAGAGCUUUGAAGCAGCCGAUCGCAGACGUGUGGACCUGCGACUCGGCCGUCUCGUAGUCCAUGGACUUGAGGAAGUUCAGGAUGCACGACAGGCCGUCCAGGUCCAGGAACCGGGUCACAAACCUGCAGGUGGGAUGCAGCAGGCGAUGACGCCGCAGUUCACGAGGGUCACAGGCGGACGGCCGAGACUCACCGGAUGGGCUGAGUCCGCAGAGCCGUCUUCAGACCGUCCACGACCGUCAGCCUGCCGUCGUUCUGACCGUUCUCCAGCGGCGCCAGCGUCUUCCUCUGGAGAGGAAGAGGAGAAACAUCAGAGCGACUCGAUCCAUGUUUCCAUCUGAGGUCUGUCCUGGAGCAGCUGAUCAAAGAACAGCCAGAAAGGGUUUGAAAAC